UACGGGGGGAGCAAACGUUGUUCGGAAUCACUGGGCGUAAAGGGCGUGUAGGCGGCUGAAUAAGUGGGAUGUUAAAUCCCCCGGCUCAACCGGGGACCUGCAUCUCAUACUGUUCAGCUCGAGCACAUCAGAGGAGACUGGAAUUCCCGGUGUAGCGGUGAAAUGCGUAGAUAUCAGGAGGAACACCGGUGGCGAAGGCGGGUCUCUGGGCCGAUACUGACGCUGAGGCACGAAAGUGCGGGGAUCAAACAGG
This 253-nucleotide ribosomal RNA is filed under the name uncultured bacterium. RNAcentral's name for it is "partial 16S ribosomal RNA". It matches the Rfam family "Bacterial small subunit ribosomal RNA", at positions 524 to 776 of the family's 1533-position model. The record is from RNAcentral.